This 284-nucleotide unclassified non-coding RNA is filed under the name uncultured fungus. RNAcentral describes it as "sequence contains ITS1". The stretch from base 1 to 106 matches the Rfam family "5.8S ribosomal RNA", at positions 50 to 154 of the family's 154-position model. Lineage: Eukaryota; Fungi. The record is from RNAcentral.
GAAAUGCGAUACGUAAUGCGAAUUGCAGAAUUCAGUGAAUCAUCAAAUCUUUGAACGCAAAUUGCGCUUCUUGGAUAGGCCAGGAAGCAUGCCUCUUUGAGCAUCGUUUUCACCUCAGCUCGACUGCUUUCUUGUAAUGAGAAAUGUCAUGUCGGAUAAUGAUGUUGUCUCGCUUCGAAAGGAGCGGGUCACUUUAAAUGCGGUGAGCUCUUUGUUUCAAUUUACUCGAUUAGCGCCUGUUUUCUCUUUCGGGAGAAUUUGGGGCCUGUUCAUUCGAACUAAUC